Dendronephthya gigantea is the source of this 231-nucleotide long non-coding RNA. RefSeq lists it as uncharacterized. Lineage: Eukaryota; Metazoa; Cnidaria; Anthozoa; Malacalcyonacea; Nephtheidae. The transcript is spliced from 3 exons. The record is from RefSeq and is a predicted model, not a curated record.
UCAGACGUUGGACAACCUCCUACACAGAUUCUGAGAGUAGUUGUCAUUAUCAAAGAAACCGCUCUGCAACCGACCGAGAAAUUUAUUCCUCAAACAACGAGGGGUAUUAUAACGUCAAUUUCAAAACGUACUGAACCUACCACAAAAAUCAUAAGAAUAAAUCAAUCUACAACGAUAGUAAAUCAACCUACAACAAAAGUAAAUCAACCUACAACGAAAGUAAAUCAACCU